Long non-coding RNA from Cercocebus atys (sooty mangabey), 1880 nucleotides. RefSeq lists it as uncharacterized. The record is from RefSeq and is a predicted model, not a curated record. NCBI's taxonomy places the organism in Eukaryota, Metazoa, Chordata, Mammalia, Primates, Cercopithecidae. The transcript has 3 exons.
GUAGCGGGUGGGGAGCCCUCGGCUCAGUCCGAGUCCCGGCACUGCGGUGUUGCGGCCCCGGAGGAGGUGGGACAAUGGCAGUUGUGCCAGUCCGGGCGCUGCACCCCCCCCUUCCCGGAACUCUAACCGUAUCCCCAGAUAGAGGGAUGGGAACACAUUUGCUUUUCCAGUAAAACGAAACGGACAGAUUGUGAAGACGCGGACAAACCUCGCGUUAAUAUUCGAAUCAGUCAGUGUCUCCAUUGGCACAGAUCACACCCCCAUCUUUUAAUACCUCCGUCCGCCCCGUGUCCCCUCAUUUACUAGACUCGUCCUCUUCCAGGCCUGGUGCUCGGCGCUUCUAAGAGGAGUAGGGUCACAGAACAACAGCGCUACCGAGACCCCUGGGGUACGCGAGGCAGGGGGAUUCCGCCCCUUUGGAAGGUGGCCGAGACCCUCAGGCACUAAAGGACUUCGUCGAGACAGGAGAGCCCUCAGAGAUCGGCAGAGAUCGUCCUCUUCUGGAUAACCAGAGUCCACAAUCAAACCUUAAAAUAACCCUUUUGGGGGCGCUGUUCCCUUUAGCAAACUCUGGAAAAUGUACACAAUCUUGUGCACAACACGAGAGUUACGGACCUGGGUUAAGGAAGGUUGUUUUCUUUUGUUCCCCCUUGGUGACAUCACUUAAACCCAGCUCUCUCUUCGUUGAUAUGACUUUUCUGUGCAUGAGGCUAGGUUGAGAGACAAUGAAGCUAGGCUUGGUACCAGCUCAUUCUCAGCAGCCAUCAUGCCCGGCCUAGUCUUGUUCCCUGGCCUGUUUCCAUUUUUCCAGCUCUGUUGGCUCCUGACGUUGGCUUUGUGUCCAGUUUUCCAGUGUGACCCUGACGUUUGGAGUUGGCAGCGACACUUUAUUUCCCUAACUUUGAUCUUCAGCAUUAGUCUUCAUUCUCCUCAGCCCCACCUCAUCAGCUUUUCUCCAUCCUGGUCAUCUACCUUCCCUCAGUUGAUCCUACCUGGCCUACCUGACCAUGCCAUCCCUUUCGACAAAGAUAUUCACACAGGAAGAGAUCUGGGCUACCUUGGAGAAGAAGCCAAAGAGCCAGUGAGAUAUUUGUGAAGCCAUGAAAGCCAUCUUCCCUAGAGUUGCCUGUCACUUCUCUCUCCUCAGGGAGACAUGUCAGUCAGUUCCUAGAGAAACUGCUCCUUAUCACAACCCUCAGCUGUCAGGUUUCCCUGGCACCCAGAGGGGACUGAGCCAGCAGCUGACCUGAAAACAGUGAGUCUGCUGACUGUCCAGCGACCAUUUUCCUCUAUUGAGAAUUUUAACCAAGUGUCUGGUGUCUGCAGUUAUUUGAUAUUAGCUGUGGACCCACAGUCACACAAGGCUGAAGGACAGCACAGAAGAGGCAGUACAUCUUAACAAAAUCAGGGUUCUGGAAGAAGGGAGAGGUGGUGAAUGGUUGUUGCAAGCAAUCAACAGUUCAUACUUCAAUGGAAAGAAGGUGGGAUUUGAUUCCUUGUCGCAAAUCUUCACUCUGUCACCUGCUAUCUGUGUGUCCUCAGUAAACAUCUAGAGGCUAGGAAUGCCUAACUUUCUGGGAAUUCAGUCCAGCAACUCUCAGCCUCAUUUUCCUAGCCCUCACUCAAAAUGGAGUCUCUCUGGUUCGAAUGCCUCUGACAAAACCAUCACUACAAUCAAGGUAAUAUAGUAAUAUAGUAAACAUAUCCAUCACCCCAAAUGUUUCCUCAUGGCCCUUUGUAACCCUUCCCUCUUACUCCUUCCUGCCCGUACAUCCCCCCACUCCCUGUACCUAGGCAAUCUGCUUUCUGUCACUAUAGUUCAGUUUAUACUUUGCAGAAUUUUAUAUAACUGGGAUCAUACAGUACAUAAUCUUUUUGAU